UUACGCUGUUAUCCCUAAGGUAAUUUAGUCUUAUAGUCACUAAAAAUGGAUCAAAAAUAUAUAAAUAAAUAUAUAAAAAUAAAAAGAGUUAUAUUAAUCUUCCCAUCACCCCAACAAAAUUUACAUAAUAUUAAAUUAUUAACCCACAAAAAAUAUAAAUUAAAUCAAACUCUAUAGGGUCUUCUCGUCCCAAAAAAAUAUUUAGGCAUUUUAACCUAAAAUUUAAGUUCAAAAAAAUAAAAAUUUAAGACAGUAAAUACCUUGUCAAAUCAUUCAUUCCAGUCUUCAAUUAAAAAACUAAUGAUUAUGCUACCUUUGCACAGUCAAAAUACUGCGGCCAUUUAAAAUUCAGUGGGCAGAUACUACAUCAAAAUAUAUACAAGAUGCGAUGUUUUUGUUAAACAGGCG
Molecule: ribosomal RNA, 408 nt
Filed under: Cryptocercus punctulatus (brown-hooded cockroach)
Lineage: Eukaryota; Metazoa; Arthropoda; Insecta; Blattodea; Cryptocercidae
Description: partial 16S ribosomal RNA
Source: RNAcentral